Molecule: long non-coding RNA, 744 nt
Organism: Quercus robur (English oak)
Lineage: Eukaryota; Viridiplantae; Streptophyta; Magnoliopsida; Fagales; Fagaceae
Exons: 2
Source: RefSeq, a predicted model, not a curated record
GGGGACCCCCUCAGCCUGUACAUGGUUCCGUCUCUGGGCAGCGCCUCUCUCUUCCAGCAGCAUUAGUUUACUGGCAUUACUUCGUUUCUCCAUUACCUCUGAAGAUAUAUUCUGCCACACUUCGUGCAUUGGUCAAUGGUCAGACCUCCAUAUGAUGAUGAUGAUGGUAUUAGUGAUGAAGAUGAAGUAGAGCAAGAGCUUGAUCUUGAUGUAAGGAAAAUGUCUAUCACACCCAGGAAUCCAUUGAGUUAAUGGAUUUCGAAUGGAUUAGAUGAACCUAGAGGAAUGCGCAAGAAUCAGACCCUCGACAAGUCCAGAGUCUUUGUGAUGUCAAAGUCCUUUUUGUCUUUGACUCUGCUGGAAGAGAUGAAAACAAAGUCUACCUUGCUUGUGCUAAACAGAAGAACAUGCUUCUAAAUAUGAAAUAUUAUAGCUCAGUUCACCUCGAAUGUGUGCUGCUCAGCUGACUGGAAGUAAAAGUUUAGCCAGCCAUUACAAUUUUGGGCUUUUUAUUUGUGAUCUAUGACUUUUUCUUUUCUUCUACUGCAAAGAAUUGUAAAAUUAAUUAAAGAAGCUGAUUAGUACAUGUCCGAUAUGAAUUUUGAGUUGGUCCAUAUUGAUUGUAAUAGAAGAAAUACAGAGGAGUGGAUAACUUCAUUGUGAUUCACUGGAUCUCCAGCUUGUACAUUUUUUGCAUUUAUGAUAAGAUUUCUUCUUAGGUCUUUGGGGGCCUUUUUGACAUAA